Molecule: ribosomal RNA, 904 nt
Filed under: uncultured bacterium
Lineage: Bacteria
Description: bacterial SSU rRNA
Rfam family: Bacterial small subunit ribosomal RNA
Source: RNAcentral
GUUUGAUCAUGGCUCAGAUUGAACGCUGGCGGCAUGCCUUACACAUGCAAGUCGAACGGCAGCACGGGAGCAAUCCUGGUGGCGAGUGGCGAACGGGUGAGUAAUAUAUCGGAACGUGCCCAGUCGUGGGGGAUAACGCAGCGAAAGCUGUGCUAAUACCGCAUACGAUCUACGGAUGAAAGCGGGGGAUCGCAAGACCUCGCGCGAUUGGAGCGGCCGAUAUCAGAUUAGCUAGUUGGCGGGGUAAAGGCCCACCAAGGCGACGAUCUGUAGCUGGUCUGAGAGGACGACCAGCCACACUGGAACUGAGACACGGUCCAGACUCCUACGGGAGGCAGCAGUGGGGAAUUUUGGACAAUGGGCGCAAGCCUGAUCCAGCAAUGCCGCGUGCAGGAUGAAGGCCUUCGGGUUGUAAACUGCUUUUGUACGGAACGAAACGGUCUCUUCUAAUACAGGGGGCUAAUGACGGUACCGUAAGAAUAAGCACCGGCUAACUACGUGCCAGCAGCCGCGGUAAUACGUAGGGUGCAAGCGUUAAUCGGAAUUACUGGGCGUAAAGCGUGCGCAGGCGGUUAUAUAAGACAGAUGUGAAAUCCCCGGGCUCAACCUGGGACCUGCAUUUGUGACUGUAUAGCUAGAGUACGGUAGAGGGGGAUGGAAUUCCGCGUGUAGCAGUGAAAUGCGUAGAUAUGCGGAGGAACACCGAUGGCGAAGGCAAUCCCCUGGACCUGUACUGACGCUCAUGCACGAAAGCGUGGGGAGCAAACAGGAUUAGAUACCCUGGUAGUCCACGCCCUAAACGAUGUCAACUGGUUGUUGGGUCUUCACUGACUCAGUAACGAAGCUAACGCGUGAAGUUGACCGCCUGGGGAGUACGGCCNCAAGGUUGAAACUCAAAGGAAUU